ACAGAGGGGGCAAGCGUUAUUCGGUAUUAUUGGGCGUAAAGGGCGCGUAGGCGGUCGGACAAGUGGAAGGUGAAAUCUCCAGGCUCAACCUGGGAACUGCCCUCCAAACUGUUUGACUUGAGUCCGGGAGAGGUGAGUGGAAUUCCCAGUGUAGCGGUGAAAUGCGUAGAUAUUGGGAGGAACACCAGUGGCGAAGGCGAGUCCCUGGAAAACUCCUGACACUGAGGCACGAAAGCUAGGGGAGCAAACAGGA
Molecule: ribosomal RNA, 253 nt
Filed under: uncultured prokaryote
Description: partial 16S ribosomal RNA
Rfam family: Bacterial small subunit ribosomal RNA
Source: RNAcentral